AGAGUUUGAUCCUGGCUCAGAACGUACGCUGGCGGCACGCCUAACACAUGCAAGUCGAACGCAGUAGCAAUACUGAGUGGCAGACGGGUGAGUAACAUGUGGGAAUCUGCCUUGUGGUUCAGGACAACAUUGGGAAACCGAUGCUAAUACUGGAUAAGCCCUUACGGGGAAAGUUUUAAUGCCAUAAGAUGAGCCCGCAUUUGAUUAGUUAGUUGGUGAGGUAAUGGCUCACCAAGACAAUGAUCAAUAGCUGAUCUGAGAGGAUGAUCAGCCACACUGGGACUGAGACACGGCCCAGACUCCUACGGGAGGCAGCAGUGGGGAAUCUUGCACAAUGGAGGAAACUCUGAUGCAGCGAUGCCGCGUGAGUGAAGAAGGCCUUUGGGUUGUAAAGCUCUUUUGUAGGGGAAGAUAAUGACUGUACCAUAAGAAUAAGGUCCGGCUAACUUCGUGCCAGCAGCCGCGGUAAUACGAAGGGACCUAGCGUAGUUCGGAAUUACUGGGCGUAAAGCGCGCGUAGGCCGUUGAGUUAGUUAAUUGUGAAAUCCCAAAGCUUAACUUUGGAACUGCAAUUAAAACUGCUCGACUAGAGUUUGAUAGAGGAAAGCGGAAUACAUAGUGUAGAGGUGAAAUUCGUAGAUAUUAUGUAGAACACCAGUUGCGAAGGCGGCUUUCUGGAUCAACACUGACGCUGAGGUGCGAAAGUAUGGGUAGCAAAGAGGAUUAGAUACCCUCGUAGUCCAUACCAUAAACGAUGAUUGCUAGAUGUUGGAAAUUUAAUUUCAGUAUCGCAGCUAACGCAUUAAGCAAUCCGCCUGGGGAGUACGACCGCAAGGUUAAAACUCAAAUGAAUUGACGGGGACCCGCACAAGCGGUGGAGCAUGUGGUUUAAUUCGAAGAUACGCGCAGAACCUUACCAACCCUUGACAUGUCUGUCGCGAGUUUAGGAAACUAGACUUUUCGGUUCGGCCGGACAGAACACAGGUGCUGCAUGGCUGUCGUCAGCUCGUGUCGUGAGAUGUUGGGUUAAGUCCCGCAACGAGCGCAACCCUUAUUCUAUGUUGCCAGCAAGUAAUGUUGGGGACUCAUGGAAGACCGCCGGGGUCAACUCGGAGGAAGGUGGGGAUGACGUCAAGUCCUCAUGCCCCUUAUGUCCAGGGCUGCAAACACGCUACAAUGGCCGAUACAAAGGGUCGCUUGCCCGCGAGGGUUGGCCAAUCCCAUAAAGUCGGUCUCAGAUCGGAUUGAAGUCUGCAACUCGACUUCAUGAAGCUGGAGUUGCUAGUAAUCCCGGAUCAGCACGCCGGGGUGAAUACGUUCCCGGGCCUUGUACACACCGCCCGUCACACCACGAAAGUCGGCAACACCCGAAGCCGGUGGCCUAACCGAAAGGAAGGAGCCGUCGAAGGUGGGGUCGGUGAUUGGGGUGAAGUCGUAACAAGG
Molecule: ribosomal RNA, 1443 nt
Filed under: uncultured bacterium
Lineage: Bacteria
Description: partial 16S ribosomal RNA
Rfam family: Bacterial small subunit ribosomal RNA
Source: RNAcentral